This 253-nucleotide ribosomal RNA is filed under the name uncultured bacterium. RNAcentral describes it as "partial 16S ribosomal RNA". It matches the Rfam family "Bacterial small subunit ribosomal RNA", at positions 524 to 776 of the family's 1533-position model. The record is from RNAcentral.
UACGGAGGGUGCAAGCGUUAAUCGGAAUUACUGGGCGUAAAGCGCACGCAGGCGGUCUGUUAAGUCAGAUGUGAAAUCCCCGGGCUUAACCUGGGAACUACAUUUGAAACUGGCAGGCUUGAGUCUUGUAGAGGGGGGUAGAAUUCCAGGUGUAGCGGUGAAAUGCGUAGAGAUCUGGAGGAAUACCGGUGGCGAAGGCGGCCCCCUGGACAGAGACUGACGCUCAGGUGCGAAAGCGUGGGGAGCGAACAGG